This 569-nucleotide long non-coding RNA is filed under the name Numida meleagris (helmeted guineafowl). Its description in RNAcentral is "lncRNA (ENSNMEG00000001690.1)". Lineage: Eukaryota; Metazoa; Chordata; Aves; Galliformes; Numididae. The record is from RNAcentral.
UAACCAAAACUAGACUGAUCUCACUACUGAGAGAACCUGAGAACCAUUCUGUUUUUCUUGGAAAAUGAAAGAUUGGGCUUUAUAUUUUACAGAAUGUACGCUGCCCUCUGGAAAAAUUUUUCUAGAUGAGGGGAAUAGAUGUUCAUAGUGACCCACAUAGUAUUAAAUGCUACGACAUUAUUUCUUGUGGUCAUGGAGGACGAAGCUUAGUGACUCACUUGGCCUUUUGCGGGUCCAUCUUCCCAGAGCAGAGCAAUUGGUGCUGAGCAGCAUGGAAAACAGCUACUGGAAGACAGAGCCCUUUGAGGUUUAAGGAUGUGACAAGUAGGAACAACACAAAAGAAAAAUGUGGAAGGUGAUUACCCUGUUUCUGGAAGCAGUGAUUUUUUUGUUAGUCUGUGAAUGCUCCUUGAGAGAAAGCUAGAUAGUUAAUGGGAAUUAAAACACAUUUAUCAAUGGAGGUAUUAUCUACAGUGCUUCUAUCUCUGAGAAUCAAGCGGGAAAGUCUUUUCCUCUUCAAACUCCAUAAUGCUCCCUGGGCAGUAUGGGAAGCUCUCUGGAAAAUCCAG